UACGUAGGUGGCAAGCGUUGUCCGGAAUUAUUGGGCGUAAAGCGCGCGCAGGCGGUCCUUUAAGUCUGCUGUGAAAGCCCACGGCUCAACCGUGGAGGGUCAUUGGAAACUGGGGGACUUGAGUACAGGAGAGAAGAGUGGAAUUCCACGUGUAGCGGUGAAAUGCGUAGAGAUGUGGAGGAACACCAGUGGCGAAGGCGACUAUCUGGACGAACACUGACGCUGAGACACGAAAGCGUGGGGAGCAAACAGG
This 253-nucleotide ribosomal RNA is filed under the name uncultured bacterium. Its description in RNAcentral is "partial 16S ribosomal RNA". It matches the Rfam family "Bacterial small subunit ribosomal RNA", at positions 524 to 776 of the family's 1533-position model. The record is from RNAcentral.